AGUGAACGCUGGCGGUAGGCCUAACACAUGCAAGUCGAACGGCAGCACAGUAAGAGCUUGCUCUUACGGGUGGCGAGUGGCGGACGGGUGAGGAAUACAUCGGAAUCUACUUUUUCGUGGGGGAUAACGUAGGGAAACUUACGCUAAUACCGCAUACGACCUACGGGUGAAAGCAGGGGAUCUUCGGACCCUGCGCGAUUGAAUGAGCCGAUGUCGGAUUAGCUAGUUGGCGGGGUAAAGGCCCACCAAGGCGACGAUCCGUAGCUGGUCUGAGAGGAUGAGCAGCCACACUGGAACUGAGACACGGUCCAGACUCCUACGGGAGGCAGCAGUGGGGAAUAUUGGACAAUGGGCGCAAGCCUGAUCCAGCCAUACCGCGUGGGUGAAGAAGGCCUUCGGGUUGUAAAGCCCUUUUGUUGGGAAAGAAAAGCAGCAAGUUAAUACCCCGCUGUUCUGACGGUACCCAAAGAAUAAGCACCGGCUAACUUCGUG
RNAcentral lists this ribosomal RNA (492 nucleotides) under uncultured bacterium. RNAcentral describes it as "partial 16S ribosomal RNA". It matches the Rfam family "Bacterial small subunit ribosomal RNA", at positions 29 to 507 of the family's 1533-position model. The record is from RNAcentral.